RNAcentral lists this unclassified non-coding RNA (252 nucleotides) under Hevea brasiliensis (rubber tree). The record is from RNAcentral. Lineage: Eukaryota; Viridiplantae; Streptophyta; Magnoliopsida; Malpighiales; Euphorbiaceae.
UUUUCAUUCACAGGUAGUCUGGAACUGCUUCAAGGGUAAUGAUUUCAGUAAUCCAUUUUCAUUUGCUGUGGAUAAUUAGUUGGAUUCUUUUCUUUGCUCCCUUAUAAGUAUGCAUUUCAUAUUUAACUCAAGAACAUAUGCCAUCUUCCUCGCUAGAAAAAAAUAAAAAUAAAAAGAACAAAAGAUUUCCAUAUACUCUUUUAGAUAAUGAACUGAAGCUGCAUCUGCUGCAUUCGUCUUCUCAAUUUUAAG